RNAcentral lists this unclassified non-coding RNA (424 nucleotides) under Hevea brasiliensis (rubber tree). Lineage: Eukaryota; Viridiplantae; Streptophyta; Magnoliopsida; Malpighiales; Euphorbiaceae. The record is from RNAcentral.
CUUAUCUCCAAAGACCAUGAGUCUUCGCCCCUCCUAACUGCAGAGACAGGCAGUCUGUUAGCCACCACCAGCAGCCGCUGCCUUAAAGGCCUUCCAUCCUCCUUUUCACAUCCCUCAGUCCUUGUAGCUGCAAUAGCCCCCUCAAGGUAUUGCUCAAUAUACGAAUUGUUUGAGUUGUCACCUGCUCUCAAACGCAAACCAUGUUCACAUGGUUCAAUCCCCCCAUUAUUAUCAGUCACCUCAUUUGAAUGGGAAGCCCUGCUGCUUCUCUUUAGCUCUCUUUCUCUCAAGAGCCGUUGCGUACGACUUGGGUAAGGGGUUGAGUUACCGUUGUACUGGUUUCCAGGCAUACGCUCACUCUAGAACCCAACCUCCAGCCACCAAAUUGUAUCAGCUCCGGCUGUUCUUAGAACAAUUGUAUGUC